RNAcentral lists this ribosomal RNA (568 nucleotides) under Aspergillus versicolor. RNAcentral's name for it is "eukaryotic LSU rRNA". The stretch from base 150 to 303 matches the Rfam family "5.8S ribosomal RNA". Lineage: Eukaryota; Fungi; Ascomycota; Eurotiomycetes; Eurotiales; Aspergillaceae. The record is from RNAcentral.
CGGGCUGCCUCCGGGCGCCCAACCUCCCACCCGUGACUACCUAACACUGUUGCUUCGGCGGGGAGCCCUCUCGGGGGCGAGCCGCCGGGGACUACUGAACUUCAUGCCUGAGAGUGAUGCAGUCUGAGUCUGAAUAUAAAAUCAGUCAAAACUUUCAACAAUGGAUCUCUUGGUUCCGGCAUCGAUGAAGAACGCAGCGAACUGCGAUAAGUAAUGUGAAUUGCAGAAUUCAGUGAAUCAUCGAGUCUUUGAACGCACAUUGCGCCCCCUGGCAUUCCGGGGGGCAUGCCUGUCCGAGCGUCAUUGCUGCCCAUCAAGCCCGGCUUGUGUGUUGGGUCGUCGUCCCCCCCGGGGGACGGGCCCGAAAGGCAGCGGCGGCACCGUGUCCGGUCCUCGAGCGUAUGGGGCUUUGUCACCCGCUCGAUUUAGGGCCGGCCGGGCGCCAGCCGACGUCCAACCAUUUUUCUUCAGGUUGACCUCGGAUCAGGUAGGGAUACCCGCUGAACUUAAGCAUAUCAUAAGCGGAGGAGGAUCAUUACUGAGUGCGGGCUGCCUCCGGGCGCCAACC